CCGGUUGAUCCUGCCGGACCUGACUGCUAUCGGAUUGGUACUAAGCCAUGCGAGUCAUUGUACAAUACAAGGCGGACGGCUCAGUAACACGUAGUCAACCUAACUCGUGGACGUGGAUAACCUCGGGAAACUGAGAAUAAACCACGAUAGAUCAUAGUGCCUGGAAUGGCUUAUGGUCCAAACAGUUUACUGCCAUGGGAUGGGACUGCGGCCUAUCAGCUUGUUGGUGAGGUAAUGGCCCACCAAGGCGAUUACAGGUACGGGCUCUGAGAGGAGAAGCCCGGAGAUGGGUACUGAGACACGGACCCAGGCCCUAUGGGGCGCAGCAGGCGAGAAACCUUAGCAAUGUGCGAAAGCACGACUGGGUCAGUCCGAGUGAUUCCUGAUAAAGGAGUCUUUUGCUUGUCCUAAAAGCACAGGUGAAUAAGGGGUGGGCAAGUCUGGUGUCAGCCGCCGCGGUAAUACCAGCACCUCGAGUGGUCAGGACGUUUAUUGGGCCUAAAGCAUCCGUAGCCGGCUUUGCAAGUCUUCGGUUAAAAUCCACCUGCUCAACAGAUGGGCCGCUGGAGAUACUAAAAGCUAGGGAGUGGGAGAGGCAGACGGAUCAAGGGGUAGGGUAAAAUCUCUGAUCAUUGA
RNAcentral lists this ribosomal RNA (636 nucleotides) under uncultured archaeon. RNAcentral describes it as "bacterial SSU rRNA". It matches the Rfam family "Archaeal small subunit ribosomal RNA", at positions 4 to 652 of the family's 1478-position model. The record is from RNAcentral.